UACGGAGAGUGCAAGCGUUGUUCGGAAUUAUUGGGCGUAAAGCGCGUGUAGGCGGUCCAACAAGUCUGGCGUGAAAGCCUUGAGCUCAACUCAAGAAGUGCGCUGGAAACUGUCGGACUUGAGUACCGGAGGGGAAGGUGGAAUUCUCGAGUGUAGAGGUGAAAUUCGUAGAUAUUCGGAAGAACAUCAGUGGCGAAGGCGACCUUCUGGACGGAUACUGACGCUGAGACGCGAAAGCGUGGGUAGCAAACAGG
RNAcentral lists this ribosomal RNA (254 nucleotides) under uncultured bacterium. RNAcentral's name for it is "partial 16S ribosomal RNA". It matches the Rfam family "Bacterial small subunit ribosomal RNA", at positions 524 to 776 of the family's 1533-position model. The record is from RNAcentral.